AUACAAAAAGUGUUCUUUCCACGCGUGAAGCUAGCGCGUGCCUGCACGCCUUUCGUUGCCAAACCCAGCCCAGGGCAGGAAGCGCAUGCCGCAAGGCUAUAUAAGAGUCAACGUCAACUGCAUGUCGGAAAUUCUGGGAAUGUUUCGUAACGGUAACUGAGCUAGGGUUUUCUGUCUAGGGUUUAUUUUGCAGCAUACCCACAUUGCUCGUGCUGAUCUGAUCGAGAUCAAUAUCAAGAUCUAGAUCAAGACCAAUUUCAGAAAAUCAAUCGGAGCAUGGAGAGGAGCUGCUGAAGCUCAUCUAGUGUGGUUAUAUCUAUAAUUAGUUUCCAUUGAGAAAAAGAAGGUUACCAUGGCAAGGCAGCUCCUUGGGAAUUCUUCUCAGCAGAGGAUCACAAGAGAUGUAGCAAGCACUUACAUUCCAGGAGAUCCUCAAUGCUCCACACGUAAGUGGUACUUCAGUAGACAAGAAAUAGAGGAUCAUUCUCCAUCAAGAAAGGACGGCAUUGAUAUCCCAAGCGAGUUACAUUUGCAGAAGUUAUACUGCUCGUUUCUUCGAGAAUUGGGCAUGACCCUUAAAGUGCCGCAGCUAACAAUAGCAACUGCAAUGAUGUUGUGCCAUCAGUUUUAUAUGCGUCAGUCUCAUGCAAAGAAUGAUUGGCAGACAAUUGCAACUGUAUGCAUGUUUCUUGCUUGCAAAGUGGAAGAAACGCCACGCUUACUGAGAGAUGUUGUUGUUGUGGCUUAUGAGAGAACUUACAAAUGGGAUCCUUCCGCCCCACAAAGAAUUAGACAAAGGGAAGUUUAUGACAAGCAGAAGCAAUUAAUUUUAACUGGGGAGAGGCUGUUAUUGGCUACUGUUGCCUUUGAUCUAAAUAUACAACACCCGUACAAGCCCCUUGUUGCUGCUGUGAAGAGAUUAGGGAUUUCACACAAUGAUCUUGUCAAAGUGGCAUGGAAUUUUGUGAAUGAUUGGCUUUGCACGACUUUGUGCUUGCAGUACAAACCCCAUUAUAUUGCAGCUGGUUCCCUGUUCCUUGCAGCCAAAUUUCACAAGGUCAAGCUACCUGCAGAGAAGGGAAAGGUUUGGUGGCUGGAGUUCGAUGUUUCACCUAAACAACUAGAAGAGGUCAUCCAGCAGAUGCUCAAGUUUUUGGAGAAGAACAGAAAACUGCCUCUACCUGGUCAUGCAAGGGUAACUGAAUCUGCAGCUAUGGUGAAAAAAGCAAUGUCCAAUAGUCCCCAGUCAUGCAUUUUGAAUGGGUCAAUUAUUUCUCAGGACUAUGGAGUUGCAUUGCGAACUGGUAGUCCUGGAAAAUCAACAAUGUCAAAGUGCAGCCUGAACAUGAUCCGUGGUCACAAUCAUACCACUGUAAAAGAAGUACUAGAAUGUCAAACAAGUGACUCUAGCACAAGUAGUGUUGUUGAGGAUGGUGAAGGUGGGCUGCAGCUAAGAAUAAAAUCUGAUCAGAGCUCAGCUUAUAAUGUGGUUAAUGUUCUUGGACGCUACAGUGAGCCAGAUGUAAAUUGGGCUUCUUUGGAGUCCUCAAAGGUGAGGAGAUGCGAAAGAGCUGCUGGAAAGAAUUUGGCGGAAGCUGUGGAUGAUGAGAAUGGUGAUGCCUGGAUUGAGAGAGAAUUGGAAAACAGAAUAGAGCUGGGAUCGGCCUAUGCCAAAAAGAAACGGAGGGUAUUGUGAUCCCUUGAACCCAAAAUUGGCGUAUCAGAGCUGGGAUCGGCCUAUGCCAAAAAGAAACGGAGGGUAUUGUGAUCCCUUGAACCCAAAAUUGGCGUAUCAUUGACUUAUGAUAAAACUUCUUUCUCCACUUCAUGUUUGUGUUGGAAUGAUCUUCAUCUCGAAUAUGGGAUUUCGCCAAACUGUUGCACUUUGAAGAUGACUUGAUGAAGCACGAUCUAGCUAUUUAUGGGAAACACGAAAAAAGAGAUGUGAAUUCAUAGACAGAUGUGGUUGCAUAUGAGUCAACUCCACGCUAGAGAGGUUGCCCUUAUAAAUGGAGUGGAAGUGGCAUGUGCCGUUUGAUUGACAACUUGAUCGAUACUGUUAUGUCUUCACCUUGAAGGGGAAAGUCGAAGCCCAAACAAAGGCAAAAAGGGAGCAACUCAACCUUGAGAGAAGAAAUGAUGUAUAUAAAGUUAGUUUCUAGUGAAGCAACUCAACGUUCUACAUUAUUUUUGACCAUCAUAAGCCACUAGGGUUGGAGUUGAUACAAUGUGUGAGAUCUAACACUCGUACCUUUUCUUGGUUAGCUAUGAACAUGUCAAGGCAUAGACCUGAUAGUCAUAAGUACAAGUUCAAAAUGGAUCCAGAACUUUCAAAUACCAAGUUGGAUACACGUCAUUAGUUAGAAGGUCGAUUUGAUCAAAACAUUAUUUUUUUAAUGAGUGGAUUGCCCUAA
RNA transcript from Malania oleifera, 2414 nucleotides. It is a transcript of the gene named cyclin-T1-3, with no coding region annotated. The transcript has 9 exons. Lineage: Eukaryota; Viridiplantae; Streptophyta; Magnoliopsida; Santalales; Ximeniaceae. The record is from RefSeq and is a predicted model, not a curated record.